GAUGAACGCUGGCGGCGUGCCUAAUACAUGCAAGUCGAGCGAACGGACGAGAAGCUUGCUUCUCUGAUGUUAGCGGCGGACGGGUGAGUAACACGUGGAUAACCUACCUAUAAGACUGGGAUAACUUCGGGAAACCGUAGCUAAUACCGGAUAAUAUUUUGAACCGCAUGGUUCAAAAGUGAAAGACGGUCUUGCUGCCACUUAUAGAUGGAUCCGCGCUGCAUUAGCUAGUUGGUAAGGUAACGGCUUACCAAGGCAACGAUGCAUAGCCGACCUGAGAGGGUGAUCGGCCACACUGGAACUGAGACACGGUCCAGACUCCUACGGGAGGCAGCAGUAGGGAAUCUUCCGCAAUGGGCGAAAGCCUGACGGAGCAACGCCGCGUGAGUGAUGAAGGUCUUCGGAUCGUAAAACUCUGUUAUUAGGGAAGAACAUAUGUGUAAGUAACUGUGCACAUCUUGACGGUACCUAAUCAGAAAGCCACGGCUAACUACGUGCCAGCAGCCGCGGUAAUACGUAGGUGGCAAGCGUUAUCCGGAAUUAUUGGGCGUAAAGCGCGCGUAGGCGGUUUUUUAAGUCUGAUGUGAAAGCCCACGGCUCAACCGUGGAGGGUCAUUGGAAACUGGAAAACUUGAGUGCAGAAGAGGAAAGUGGAAUUCCAUGUGUAGCGGUGAAAUGCGCAGAGAUAUGGAGGAACACCAGUGGCGAAGGCGACUUUCUGGUCUGUAACUGACGCUGAUGUGCGAAAGCGUGGGGAUCAAACAGGAUUAGAUACCCUGGUAGUCCACGCCGUAAACGAUGAGUGCUAAGUGUUAGGGGGUUUCCGCCCCUUAGUGCUGCAGCUAACGCAUUAAGCACUCCGCCUGGGGAGUACGACCGCAAGGUUGAAACUCAAAGGAAUUGACGGGGACCCGCACAAGCGGUGGAGCAUGUGGUUUAAUUCGAAGCAACGCGAAGAACCUUACCAAAUCUUGACAUCCUUUGACAACUCUAGAGAUAGAGCCUUCCCCUUCGGGGGACAAAGUGACAGGUGGUGCAUGGUUGUCGUCAGCUCGUGUCGUGAGAUGUUGGGUUAAGUCCCGCAACGAGCGCAACCCUUAAGCUUAGUUGCCAUCAUUAAGUUGGGCACUCUAAGUUGACUGCCGGUGACAAACCGGAGGAAGGUGGGGAUGACGUCAAAUCAUCAUGCCCCUUAUGAUUUGGGCUACACACGUGCUACAAUGGGCAAUACAAAGGGCAGCGAAACCGCGAGGUCAAGCAAAUCCCAUAAAGUUGUUCUCAGUUCGGAUUGUAGUCUGCAACUCGACUACAUGAAGCUGGAAUCGCUAGUAAUCGUAGAUCAGCAUGCUACGGUGAAUACGUUCCCGGGUCU
Molecule: ribosomal RNA, 1372 nt
Filed under: uncultured bacterium
Lineage: Bacteria
Description: bacterial SSU rRNA
Rfam family: Bacterial small subunit ribosomal RNA
Source: RNAcentral